GUGUUACAACUAUAUAAGUUCAAGAAUAGUUAUUGAAAUUUAUCCGUCAUUGUCAGGUGGAAACUCUUUGUUUGAACAAAUAUUUUAGGCUAUAGUGAUCUGUGUGGAUAAGGAAUGAUCUUCCCCACAAAUAUGGACGCUAAUGUUGGACUGCCUUGGCCAACUUGAUUAAUUCUGUCAUAGGCUAGUAGUUUAAAAUGUCUAGCUACCAAUUUUCUACUGAAAAAUGCAAUCAGAUGGCCAUGUUGAAGAACUGCCCCAAUUCCUCCUCUAAAGGCAUCACAUUCCAUAAUGAAUUCAUCUGCAAAAUUUGGUAGCUGCAAAACUGAGGCAGCAGCGAGGGCGUGCUUGAGGUUGGUAAAGGACGCCAAAGUUGAUUCAAUCUAGUGGAAGGAGUUGCGUUUCGGCAUACUGGCCAAGGAAGCUGCAAUCUGUUCAUAAUUUUGAAUUAAUUUUUGGUAAUACCUAGCCAGCCCAAGAAAACCAUGAAGAGCCAUUGUGGAUUGCAGUUGUGGCCAUUUGGUGACCACUUGAAUUUUGCUGGAAUCGGCAAAUACAUCUGCACUAGAAAUAACAUGUUCAAGGUAUGCUACUUGCAUCUCCCCAAAGGAGCAUUUGAACCUUUUAAGAAAUAGAUGGUGAGCCCGUAAUAAUUCAAGAACCAUCCAAAUGUGAAUCAAGUGUUCAUCCUAUGUUGUACUAUAAAUUAAGAUAUCGUAGAAGAAAGCAAGGAC
RNAcentral lists this unclassified non-coding RNA (734 nucleotides) under Hevea brasiliensis (rubber tree). Lineage: Eukaryota; Viridiplantae; Streptophyta; Magnoliopsida; Malpighiales; Euphorbiaceae. The record is from RNAcentral.